AAAUGAGCCUGCACUCGGUCUCCAAGAUCGUCCCGCAUCCCGACUACAGCUGUGGGCUGACCACCAGUGACAUCACUGCGGUCACCAUGCACUCAAGGCCCCCGACACUGCCCGUAUCUGACAUGUGUGCUCUGGGACGCCGUGCUAGGGAACCAGCUGGGCUGCUCCAGGGAGGAGUGUGAGCCCCUCUUCCCUCGCCCAGGAGACCCCUCCUGCACAUGCAACCACGGAGGUGAACUCCAACUGCUGCCCACCUUCUCCAGGCUUCUCCUGUGGGGACAUUGUGAGGUGGCAGCCAGGUGUGACAGCAUGGAUGAGGGAGGGAGGGCAGGACAUGCUACCCCUUCACCUACCUGUAGGGGCCCCAGUGACCUCUGAGGGCCACCUUGAGCCUUGCAGACUCUGUCUCUGGAUUCCAAAGAGCUGACAUUCCCCAAGGGGCAUCAAGGGGCCACCUGGAGAAGCCCAUGGUCAGGGCCGCUCCUGGGCCACCAACCUCAGCAGGUGCCCCCUCCACAGCAGAUGCCUUUAUGACAGUGACGACUGGGAACCCCGAGCCAGAGCCCCUCCCCCCCCAGAACCUCUGCCAAUCUGCAUCCCUCUUUUUUCUCCUUCCUUUUCUCCCUCUGCCACACUUUCCUGUCAUCCUCCAUCAACCCUUCAAUUCCACAAACAUUCACCAAGCGUGUCACACAGUCCUUGGGGGCAUCUGAGAGCCACACGCGCAAAUGACCAAACAAGAUGAUUUUGGAUGUUUCCACGUUCUAGGGAGAAAAUACAACAUGGUAGUGAGACAGACAGUCAGCGGAAGUAUAUGGGGUUCACUUUAGAUGGAAGAGGGCAGGGAAAGCCCUGCUGAGGAGGGCAGGACCACGGCACUGUUCUCUGGCCAUCCGGUGACAGUCAAGGUUAAAAUCCCACCGUGUGACCGUCUGGGAGGAGUCUGCAGGGAGAGGCGACCCCACGGCCGAAGCAAGCUUGGAGCUCACUAGGAAAGGACGGCAGGGGGAGGGGACAGGCAGGUGGUCAGAGUGGGGGAGAGCCAGAGGAAGGGGCUCUCAAGGACCGUGGGGAGUCCCAGGGUUUGCGGCUUAAGCGAUCCCUAGGGCUACAGUGGAGAAGGGGCUCCCUGGGCCUCCCUCCCGAGCCAGGGAGGGUUUCUGGUGCUGCUUCCUGGACAAUGAGCCACCCUUGGCCUUGACUGUAGGGAGUUCCCAGGAGACUGGCCAGUCACAAAUGCUCAGGUGCUAAGGACUAUGUCGGGGAAAACUCAUCCCCUUGCCAUGCCCAGGGACCCAGUCCCUACCUAGCCCUGGCUUCCCUGGGACCCAUGCUGCUCCUGAGUCUGCCAGCCUGAGCCCACACCCACUGGCCCUCUCUCUGUAGGGUGACUUGGCGGGGGUCACGCCAGUGUGUGCAGUCAAGGAGGCUUGGUGACAGGCCGCCUGCAUCCUCUGGAGAAGGUUCUGUAGUUACCAAUGGCUUGGUGUCUCAUGGGCAUCUCCCUCAGCGUACUCUGGAUCGAGGACAUCAUCUGGAGCCCUCUCUCCCUGCUCCAGGCGGGGACCCUGGCUCUGCCUGCCCCUGCUGCCAGCAGCUGAUUCCCAUGAUAGUCACCACCCAGGCCCUCUGGGGUGACCCCAGGGCCAGGCCCAAGACCCAGGGUUCCCACAGAGUGGACACCUCCUGCGAGUUCCAGCCUGGCUCCCCUGCCUGGAGGGAGCCCCAGAAGCCAAUGCUGGGAAACUCAUCGCUCUGCGAACCCCACCCUGGACCUGGUUCAGGACACGCAGAGGGGCACCGAGCAGGCACGGUCCUCCUAGGACCCCUGUCUGGAGAGUCACUGCUCACAGUGACACUGAGAUGGACAGCCUAGCGGUGUCUCUCUCCCAUUUUGGCAAUUUCCUUCCUCCUAAAACCCCGGGCAAAAAAGUUUGUGAAAGGCCAAUUCAACUUUCACGAUUUAAUCUGGAGGAGGGUGAUGAGAGGGGCUAGGCCUGCGGCCAAGGGGCAGCCAGGGCAGGCGGGGACCAGCAGGGAGGACAAAACCCAAGGCCUGCAUUUCCCCCAGGAAGUCCUGCAAGGGAACCUCUCUUCCCGCCUCAGCCCACAGUGCUAGGCCUCCAGUGGGCACUCAAGGACGCGUUAUCGUACCUUUGGAAGGCCUGGCUGCGGGCCACGUCCUUGAGCCUUCUUGGAGGAAGGAGUGGGUAGAAAAGGAGGCAGCCAGAACCCCAGGGUUGCAGACAAGAAAAGGAUUGUGGGG
RNAcentral lists this long non-coding RNA (2266 nucleotides) under Equus caballus (horse). RNAcentral's name for it is "lncRNA (ENSECAG00000046808.1)". Lineage: Eukaryota; Metazoa; Chordata; Mammalia; Perissodactyla; Equidae. The record is from RNAcentral.